GACGGAGGGUGCUAGCGUUGUUCGGAAUCACUGGGCGUAAAGGGCGCGUAGGCGGCGCCGCAAGUCGGCUCGUGAAAGCCCGGGGCUCAACCCCGGAGGUGCGGCCGGGACUGCGGUGCUGGAGGCCGGAAGAGGAGGGUGGAAUACCCAGUGUAGAGGUGAAAUUCGUAGAUAUUGGGUGGAACACCGGUGGCGAAAGCGGCUCUCUGGUCCGGACCUGACGCUGAGGCGCGAAAGCGUGGGGAGCAAACAGG
Molecule: ribosomal RNA, 254 nt
Filed under: uncultured bacterium
Lineage: Bacteria
Description: partial 16S ribosomal RNA
Rfam family: Bacterial small subunit ribosomal RNA
Source: RNAcentral